AUUAAUAGAAAAGUUACCGUAGGGAUAACAGCGUAAUUUUUCUGGAGAGUUCUUAUCGAUAGAAAAGUUUGCGACCUCGAUGUUGGAUUAGAAUUCCUUUUAGGUGUAGCUGCUUAAUAAGGAGGUCUGUUCGACCUUUUAAUUUCUACAUGAUCUGAGUUCAAACCGGUGUAAGCCAGGUUGGAUUCUAUCUUUAAUAUAAAAAUUUUAAGUUUAGUACGAAAGGACCAAUUUAAAUAAAUAUUUUAUUAUU
RNAcentral lists this ribosomal RNA (253 nucleotides) under Callochiton steinenii. RNAcentral's name for it is "partial 16S ribosomal RNA". The stretch from base 1 to 193 matches the Rfam family "Bacterial large subunit ribosomal RNA", at positions 2448 to 2643 of the family's 2925-position model. The record is from RNAcentral. Lineage: Eukaryota; Metazoa; Mollusca; Polyplacophora; Chitonida; Callochitonidae.